CGGAGGGUGCGAGCGUUAAUCGGAAUUACUGGGCGUAAAGAGUGCGUAGGUGGUUUAGUAAGUUAUCUGUGAAAUCCCUGGGCUCAACCUGGGCAGGUCAGAUAAUACUGUUAGACUCGAGUAUGGGAGAGGGUAGUGGAAUUUCCGGUGUAGCGGUGAAAUGCGUAGAGAUCGGAAGGAACACCAGUGGCGAAGGCGGCUACCUGGCCUAAUACUGACACUGAGGCACGAAAGCGUGGGGAGCAAACAGGAUU
This 254-nucleotide ribosomal RNA is filed under the name uncultured bacterium. RNAcentral's name for it is "partial 16S ribosomal RNA". It matches the Rfam family "Bacterial small subunit ribosomal RNA", at positions 526 to 779 of the family's 1533-position model. The record is from RNAcentral.